UACAGAGGUCCCAAGCGUUGUUCGGAUUCACUGGGCGUAAAGGGUGCGUAGGCGGUCAGGUAAGUCUGAUGUGAAAUUCCCGGGCUUAACCUGGGGGCUGCAUUUGAUACGUGUUGUCUUGAGUUCGGAAGAGGGUCGUGGAAUUCCCAGUGUAGAGGUGAAAUUCGUAGAUAUUGGGAAGAACACCGGUGGCGAAGGCGGCGACCUGGUCCGACACUGACGCUGAGGUGCGAAAGCGUGGGGAGCAAACAGG
This 253-nucleotide ribosomal RNA is filed under the name uncultured bacterium. Its description in RNAcentral is "partial 16S ribosomal RNA". It matches the Rfam family "Bacterial small subunit ribosomal RNA", at positions 524 to 776 of the family's 1533-position model. The record is from RNAcentral.